AGUGAACGCUGGCGGUAGGCCUAACACAUGCAAGUCGAACGGCAGCACAGUAAGAGCUUGCUCUUAUGGGUGGCGAGUGGCGGACGGGUGAGGAAUACAUCGGAAUCUACUCUUUCGUGGGGGAUAACGUAGGGAAACUUACGCUAAUACCGCAUAUGACCUACGGGUGAAAGCAGGGGAUCUUCGGACCUUGCGCGAUUGAAUGAGCCGAUGUUGGAUUAGCUAGUUGGCGGGGUAAAGGCCCACCAAGGCGACGAUCCGUAGCCGGUCUGAGUGGAUGGUCAGCCGCACUGGAACUGGGACACGGUCCAGACUCCUACGGGAGGCAGCAGUGGGGAAUAUUAGACAAUGGGCGCGAGCCUGAUCCAGCCAUACCGCGUGGGUGAAGAAGGCCUUCGGGUUGUAAAGACCUUUUGUUGGGAAAGAAAAGCAGCAGGUUAAUACCCCGCUGUUCUGACGGUACCCAAAGAAUAAGCACCGGCUAACUUCGUG
This 492-nucleotide ribosomal RNA is filed under the name uncultured bacterium. RNAcentral's name for it is "partial 16S ribosomal RNA". It matches the Rfam family "Bacterial small subunit ribosomal RNA", at positions 29 to 507 of the family's 1533-position model. The record is from RNAcentral.